GCGAAUGUGGUGCCAGCGGCGGCGGGAGUAGGAAGGGGGGUAGUGUUUAUCGGAAUGACGUGGCGUAAAUCGAACGUAGGCGGCUUUUUAAGGCUGGGGUGAAAUCCUGGAGCUCAACUCCAGAACUGCCUUCGAUACUGGAAAGCUCGAGUCCGGGAGAGGGGAGUGGAACUGCGAGUGUAGAGGUGAAAUUCGUAGAUAGUCGCAAGAACACCAGUGGCGAAGGCGGCUCACUGGCCCGGUACUGACGCUGAGGUGCGAAAGCGUGGGGAGCAAACAGGAUUAGAUACCCUAGUAGUC
Molecule: ribosomal RNA, 300 nt
Filed under: uncultured Lactobacillus sp.
Lineage: Bacteria; Bacillati; Bacillota; Bacilli; Lactobacillales; Lactobacillaceae
Description: bacterial SSU rRNA
Rfam family: Bacterial small subunit ribosomal RNA
Source: RNAcentral